Molecule: non-coding RNA, 26 nt
Filed under: Rattus norvegicus (Norway rat)
Lineage: Eukaryota; Metazoa; Chordata; Mammalia; Rodentia; Muridae
Source: RNAcentral
UGGAUUAGCCUGUCCACCAUCUACCC